Molecule: long non-coding RNA, 434 nt
Filed under: Ananas comosus (pineapple)
Lineage: Eukaryota; Viridiplantae; Streptophyta; Magnoliopsida; Poales; Bromeliaceae
Description: long non-coding RNA (ACOM_LNC003460)
Source: RNAcentral
ACCUUGACCCAAGAGUAUGUCAGAUCCGCCACAAAUACAGAAAAUUCAUUGUUCACACGGACAGAGUCUCCUCUGUAUUUGUACGACGUCGCAUAAGUACAAGAUACAACCACAAUAGUAUAAACAUCCACAUACAUUUACCACAUCACAUUUACCAUACAUCCCAUCACAGAUAAUCAUAAAUCCACAUCUAUUAGUUUAAAACGUUUUUUACCCGGAAACUCAUUUUGAAAUACUAAGAAUCAUGAAGACCGGGAAAAACUCUUUUAAAAAUCGUUUCCCACACGGAAACCUUUUCCUUUAAAAACACGCUACCACGAGGGGUAGAAAAUCGUUUUCAUUUCAUCAGAAAAUCAUAAGUACUUUAUUACAUUCACAAAAUCACAUUUAUCCAAAUAACAUAAAACCAACUGAACCAUGAUAAGUAAGUCAAU